GCAGUGCUCCGGCUUGUCGCUGGCAUUCCCUGAUGGGGAUGAAAGAGGAAAGUCCGGGCAGCAAAGGGCAUCCCACUUCCGAAAAUAGAAGCUAUUGGUGACAGUAGGUGUCGGUAGAAGAAAACAACCGCCCGAAACUUAUUCCGUAGCGAUGGAGCUUUCAGCAUACGUCGUGGUUUAGUGUCGGGUAAGGGUGAGAAGGUGGUGUAAGAGACCACCAGCUGGCGGGUGAUCGCCAGGCUGUGCCAUCUGGGAGCUGUAAGCUCAUGUAAACCGCAGAUUGAGGGCGGCUCGUCCGAUUGCCUUUGGGCUACUGUGGAGGGUAGAGUGCUUGAGCCCAGGGGUGACUCUGGGACUAGAUAAAUGACAGGCACCUGUUUCCUUUCUUGGGGCAGGUACAGAACUCGGCUUAUAGGAGCACUGCUUUC
RNAcentral lists this RNase P RNA (428 nucleotides) under Segatella copri. RNAcentral's name for it is "RNase P RNA component class A". It matches the Rfam family "Bacterial RNase P class A". Rfam says of the family: Ribonuclease P (RNase P) is a ubiquitous endoribonuclease, found in archaea, bacteria and eukarya as well as chloroplasts and mitochondria. Its best characterised activity is the generation of mature 5'-ends of tRNAs by cleaving the 5'-leader elements of precursor-tRNAs. The record is from RNAcentral. Lineage: Bacteria; Pseudomonadati; Bacteroidota; Bacteroidia; Bacteroidales; Prevotellaceae.